Rosa chinensis is the source of this 1168-nucleotide long non-coding RNA. RefSeq lists it as uncharacterized. The transcript has 5 exons. The record is from RefSeq and is a predicted model, not a curated record. NCBI's taxonomy places the organism in Eukaryota, Viridiplantae, Streptophyta, Magnoliopsida, Rosales, Rosaceae.
GAACAGUUGUUUUGAUAUGGUUAUAACUCUCACUUUCAAUUUAUGCGGUGCAGAACUCUCUCUCUCUCUCGAUCUAUCUCUCAAUCAUGAACAAGGGAGCAAUAGUCUUUCAAGGGUUCUUUCAAUGAGUCGGUACUCUCUACAUUCCUUUUCUCUUUCCUCUUCACAACGCAAGUCAAAUUCCUUUAUCUUCUUCUUUUGGUCGAAAAAUCGAUGCAGAUCCAAAAAUCGAUUCGCAUAAGAGGAUCAAGUUAUUGAUAUGAUACUCUUAUGCGAAUCGAUUGUUUGACAUGAAUCUCCCCCUUUCAACAAAACUUCUGAUGGAGAUUUGCACACCAUGCCUAAGGUCUUGAGCCAAGCCGUCAUUCAGGCUCCGUCUCAUGCCCAUCCAACCGAUUUCUUAAGGUUGGUCUGGCCUAUUGCUCUUUCCUUGUGCCUAUUUUGCUUUACGGGGUUCAUUUACAGGUUCAGCAGAUCAAAGACAUAGACAAGCUGGGUUUUAUGGGUCUAGUUCAAGAAGAGCUUGUGUUGAUAGAAGACUGGUACAUUUUCAGAUAAGACCGGUGGGGAUUGGUGGAGGGUUGUCACUUGAGACAAGAAAACCAAUCAUACCAAUUGCGGGGUUUACUCAAAUGCAGUGCUUCUAUAAUAUGUGCUUCUGCUUUGAAUGGCAGAUGUGCUACAACACUACAAACCAAAUCUGUUAUGCACCAGGCUCCAACAAUCACAAGUCUUCCUCGAGUACGAGCAUUUUGCAGUUCGGUGAUGGAGCAAGACAGAUGAUAUAUUGUGCUUUCAGAUGAAAGAAAAGUCUGCUGUAGAGUUUUCUAGAAUAAUUUGUAUUUAAAUAUUUUUUUUAAAAUGGAAUAUUUGUAGUCACCAAAGAUUGUAUUAGUGGUAGGAAGUCUCUGUGGGACCCAUAAUGGCAGUCACCAAAAAGUUGAUAGUGGGUUCCUUGGGUACUGUCACGCCAGCAAAGGCAACUAUUAACAAUAAUGGUGGCUGGACCGUGGCUAUUGGUGUUACACACCAAUGAUUGGUCCCUAAUAACCCAACUCACACCAUUACUGAUGGUGUCUAAACUCUAAAGGCCACAUUUGUGGUAGUGUAAGUUCAGGUAGCCUAUCGUCUAUAAUUUUCCGACAUUGUUGUGCUGUUUUUUUACUAA